UGUUCGUGCUUUUUAGGGGAAGACAGCUAGCUGGCUGUCUUUUCUCUGCCUUACUGUCAGGAAGGAUUUGGGGAUGUACAGUAUGAUGAAAUGAUGGCACUUUGCCAUUGGGUUGUGCUUGUGCUGAGAAAAUUGGAGUACUGCUUGUGCUGUCAUACUCCGUGCAAUUUGUAAAACUGAGAAGUGUACUCCUCGAGUCAUUUUCAUUUUGAAACUGAGAAGUGUACUACUGAUAAUUUAGACUGAAUGUUUUUACUGUACACUAAUGUUUUGGUCAAUGUCAUGCUGUUCCAUUUGAUUUGACACAUUAGUUAACUGAAUUUUGACACAGUGGUUAACUGAAUUUUAACCCAGUAGUUAACUGAAUUUAGUUAACAAACUAGAAAACAGAAAAGACUAGACUGCAUGGAGUAGUAACAAAUUCACUUAACAAACUAUACUGCAUUUAAUUUGAAUAAUACUCCAGCAAUAUACCACAUGAUUAUAAACUACAACAAUACAUUGGUUUAUACUCCAGCAGUUUUCAGAACCUGAACAUUUUUAGUUAGUAGUUCAAAACUACAGCAAUAUACUCCAUGAUUAUAAACUACUCCAUGUAUACUGAUCAUGGAGUAUUGUUUCAGAUCACUAUAAUAUGAAAAUUAUACUGAAAAUUCCACUAGGAUUGCACUAAUUUGUCAAACAGUUUCAUGGAAUCAGCAGCAUCCGUGGAUCAGGACGUUGGUGUUUCUACCGAGCCAAGGACCAGAUCAGGAGUCCAGGAUGGUGGGUGACGGCUGAGCCGUUUGUCAGAAUGGAUGGUGGUUCAUUCUGGAAACCCUGGCCGCCUCUCUCUUCAGCUGGUGCCCCCCUCAUCUAAUGGUCAAAAAAUCACGCUCGUUCUGCGCCGGUGGUUCCUGGUGAAAGAAAUGGAGGAUCCUAGCAUGGAGUUCCUUCUCGAUGCUGUAGACAGGUUCCCACUGUCAGAGCAGUUUGCCGACAGCCAUGAGCACCUAGGUCCAGUUCCUAUCGUCUUGUUGGCGAACAGCGGAGCGGGAAUUGCCGUCCCUGCUGACUCAAAUGCUGGGUCUGGUUGCAGUCAGCAGGUCGACGGCGACGGCGCUGAUACGGCGCGAGCUGGAGUGCGCUGUCGCCCGGAUUCAUCCCGGGCGAGGUGGGUGCAGUCCACUGACAGAGUCAAUCCGCAGGCCCCUGGGUGGACAAAAAGAUUACGGCUGGUCAGUGCGCCACCAGACCGGACACCAUGCCCUUUUCGAAUGAGUGCUAUGGAGCAGUCAAUUCGCAAAUACGCAGAGAAGUAGCGAAGAUGAGAAUGUAUGCCACCGUUCACAACAAUGCAGCCAAGCGAGAGAAAUGGAGCAGGGUUAAGUAUGAGGUGAACAUGACCCAAGGCCAAACAGAGUUUACAUGCGAAUGUGGCUACUUCGAGCACACUGGGAUGCUAUGCAGCCAUGUUUCGAGGGUCAUUGAUAUACUUCAUCUCAAGGAGAUCCCUGCAAAGCAUAUAGUGAAGCGGUGUACGAAGGACGCGAGGGGCAUACUUCCCAAACUUCUGGUUCAGUGCCAGAAGGAUAAUUCAGUUAACUUAUCAUUUCCGUGUAGGCACUCGACGGCUCGACGCUUUACCUGAAAGCCAUGGAGGUCGUGCGGAUGGGCGGUGCUAGUGCAGAAUCGUUCGAUCACAUGUUUGGUGGUCUGGAAGCUUUACUGGUGAGUGGCGCACCUUUAGCAGAGAAGAGGGCUGGUUUGGGUUUUGAGGACCGCAUGGCCGGAUUGACUCCUGGCACACUACCUGACAAUGGAGAGAUAGCGUAUGUUGAAGACCGCGGUGCUGAUCAAUGCAUUAGUGCUGGAAACUCUGUUGGUGUGAAUGCUCUCCAUGGUCUAACAGCUCCAGAAAAGCAGAGGUGGUCGGUAGACCAACAAAUAGCAGGGAGAAGGCAGCAUACGAGGGUCUGAGUAAGCAGACCAGAAGCAUACGAUCGACGCGAGGGGCACAAGCGGACUACCUGCCCUGAGAGGGGGGAUGCACCCAAGAAACCACAAGGCUGGGAAAUGCAAAAAUUGCGGUUUGGAAGGGCACCGCCGGACCACUUGCAGAAGGCACAUCUCGAAUUCAAAUUUCGAACUACUUGAGAUAUUAAAUGCAAGUACUGGUAAAACAGGUGGCAGAGUUGCACCGCGGUAAGCAGUACAAGAGUGAGUGACCGGCAGCCGCCUUGGUGCCUUUCACCAUUGUUGUACUUUCAAAACGUUUUGAAGCUAGCAGUACUUGCAAUGGCGCCUUCGUCUGUUGAAUCAGCAAGGAGUGGCACCACAAGGAUGUCUGAAGGCAGUGACUCCGUCGGAGAACUGGAGAUUCAGUCAUCUGCCUCUGCUUACAUGGAGUCGGCGUCGAGCGCUUGGAGUACAACACGUCUGCCGGCAGAAGGAGGCGAAGUGGGGGACGAGGGAGAGGUGAUCCAACGGGCCGGCUGUGGGAUUUGUGUGUUCAAGCAGGAGAUGGGCGAUAAAGUCGGCCAAGAUUUCGGUGAGGAAGGCUUCGGCGAUCAUGAUCCAGCUGCCAGCGCUGAGGUCUACCAGGACGGGGGCGAUUCUGAUGUGGAGAAUGGUUCCCAUGCAAUGGCCGCGGGGGAGGAAACUGAAUCCGCUGAAGAGGAGGAAGUGAUCAGCAGGGUAUCUAAACGGCGGCGUACUAUGGCAUCAAGGCAUCAAAUCGAAUGAAAUUUAUGCAAUUUUCUGAAUUUUCAAGGCAUGAACAACUCCCUUCGUGCCUGUCAGUUGUUCAUCCUUUGGGAUCAUGUAAUUGCGUGGUUAAGAAAAUUUGGUGUCGUUGCCUGUGUGCAUGGGACGGUUUCGCAAAAUGUUUAGAUGAUAACCUCUUUAUUUUUUUUAUGUUUCUGUAAUGACUGAUGUCAGGUGUUUGUUUGGAAAGUCAAGAAAAAAUAUGGUGACGAGGAA
This is a non-coding RNA of Aegilops tauschii subsp. strangulata, 2961 nucleotides long. Lineage: Eukaryota; Viridiplantae; Streptophyta; Magnoliopsida; Poales; Poaceae. The record is from RefSeq and is a predicted model, not a curated record.